RNAcentral lists this ribosomal RNA (525 nucleotides) under uncultured bacterium. RNAcentral describes it as "partial 16S ribosomal RNA". It matches the Rfam family "Bacterial small subunit ribosomal RNA", at positions 355 to 870 of the family's 1533-position model. The record is from RNAcentral.
UAGGGAAUCUUCGGCAAUGGACGGAAGUCUGACCGAGCAACGCCGCGUGAGUGAAGAAAGGUUUUCGGAUCGUAAAGCUCUGUUGUAAGAGAAGAACGAGUGUGAGAGUGGAAAGUUCACACUGUGACGGUAUCUUACCAGAAAGGGACGGCUAACUACGUGCCAGCAGCCGCGGUAAUACGUAGGUCCCGAGCGUUGUCCGGAUUUAUUGGGCGUAAAGCGAGCGCAGGCGGUUAGAUAAGUCUGAAGUUAGAGGCUGUGGCUUAACCAUAGUACGCUUUGGAAACUGUUAAUUUGAGUGCAAGAGGGGAGAGUGGAAUUCCAUGUGUAGCGGUGAAAAUGCGUAGAUAUAUGGAGAACACCGGUGGCGAAAAGCGGCUCUCUGGCUUGUAACUGACGCUGAGGCUCGAAAGCGUGGGGAGCAAAACAGGAUUAGAUACCCUGGUAGUCCACGCCGUAAACGAUGAGUGCUGGUGUUAGACCCUUUCCGGGGUUUAGUGCCGUAGCUAACGCAUUAAGCACUCC